CUGAGUGUUAGACUCAAAACCAGACAUUGUCUCUAUUGAACGCGUCAUAAUUAUAUGUAUUUAAUUUGGCAAUGCAGGUACAGCUUUUUUUCUUAUUGACAGCGACCAUCACUAAACAAAUUGCCAAAGUGAAAAAUCGAAUCGCUUCAUUGCGACGAAAACCGAACAACCAACAGAAAAUCAUGGAACUGGAAACAGUUCUAGACGCAUUGAUGAGACGCACCCAGCAAAUCGAUUCAGUUGGAGUCAUCGGGUUUGCAUUCCCUCUAAGAACUCUGGAGGAAGUUAAUCGCCUAGAGGAUGCAGUGCGAAAUAGCACCGCCACAAGGGAGCAAUAUGUAAGAUUUAUAAGAACACGCGGGCAUUUCCCCAACGCAGUGGAUAGAGUUCUUCCUCUACUUUUCACCGACGAAACGAUUAGUAACUUUAGCUACACGAAACAAAAUCGGCGGAUGAAUGCGCCGAAUAGGAAACUAAAUAGCUAUCAUCUAUUCAGGGAUUGCCUUCUCGAGGGUUGGGGUGAUUUUGGAAUGACGCCGACAAAGUUAGAGAAUGCACUGCAAUGUUAUAUUCAAAUGGCCACAUACAAAACAACCAACCAUGUGUCUGAAAUAAUAAAAAAAUGAAUGACUAUGGCUUCAAAUAAAUACGUUUCACCGGUGACCGGAAUAAAUCGCCACAGUAAACAACUGCAACAGAAACAACCGCUUAGAAAAAGUGUAGUAGGCUAGAAAUAUUUGGCGCGGGAAAAACAUCAUGUGCCUCACAUUUCUAUUAUAAAUUUAUUCUCUUGUUCUCGUUUUUCGAAAUUUAUUCUGAGGACAAUGUAAUGGGGACGAAGUCCCCAUUUGGCGAGGAUAAGGAAUCGAGGCGGCCCAUGCCGCCAAGAUGACGCAAUCCGAGUCCACCGCCGACCCGCCGUCGGAAGCGGCGGUGUCUCGCACGCAAACCUGGGAUCCACUGAUUGCCCGGUUAGUUUGAAACAUAGGAUACGAUCCUUUAGCAAUGUCCGACCGAGCUCUAGCGAGCGUCGGACGGUAUACGUCUGCCCGGGGCGUUACGUUUGCCUGGGGCGAUACGUUUGCCCGGUUAAUUCUUGUUUUGAAAUACAAUACCGCGCCACAAUAUUUAUAGCCUACUACACAUUUUAUAAGCGGUGGUUUCUGUUGCAGUCGUUUUCUGUGGCGAUUUAUUCCGGGAACCCGUUUCACCAUAGACCGACGAACCCUUAUUUUUAGUAUAGAACAAUUAACCAACACAUUUCAUUCUAAAAAAAAAAUUUUUUUCCAGAGGCAUUAAUCAGUUUCAAAGCUGUUGAGCACAAUGAGGAUCUGAGCAUACUACGACGAGAUUUAAACUCGAUGUCAGCAAAAGAACAGCGUAAUCAAAUUCGGCGCAAAAAGAGACACCUAACCGAGCAAUUAAGUCAGCACGAAAAGGAAGAAAAUCCAACCGAAGCAGGCGUCGAAGGAUUCGUGUUUCCACUUACAAGCGAAACGGAGGUCGAAGAGCUGGAGCAAGCCGUCCAGAGUGACAGCAGUAUUCGGGAUCAGUAUGUAACGUUCCUCCAGAACUGCAAACCAUCUCGGCUGGAUGUGGCUUACGUAUUUCCGGAUCUGUUCAGUGACAACGCUUUGCUAGGAUACAAUUACUACGGGAAGACCAACAGAUCGAAUAUGAAGAAGAAAGCCAUGCGAGAUUAUGUCAUUUUCAACGAUUGCAUGAUUGACGCUUGGCAUAGCCACGGAGUGAACGAAGUUCGUCUAAAGGCAACAAUUGUUAAAAUUAUCGCCCGUUUGAACCACAAACUGCGAACACGUGGUUAUCGAAAAAAGAAUACGACGGAAACAUUACAGUACGAAACGUUGGAUGAACUCUAUUCGAUGGAAUAAACUAGACGAGUUAAUUUAAAAAGCCUUUUUCAAUUCGCAAAAAAAAGGAUUUUUGUGUAUCAAAUUGGAAAGCACAACAUUAUUUCUACCUCUUUGACAGCUAAUCAAACCAAUACCGUUGGAGUUUCUCAAGAGGUGCAGCAGUAAGAAUGAAAGAGAUCUAACGGUGCACUCUACGAAGCUACCCGGCUUCUGUUUUCCUAUCCGCACCGAAAGCGAGGUUGAACGGUUGGAGAGAGCAGUUCGAAACGAUGGAUCAAUGCGUUUGGUAUAUGUAAGCUUGCUACGGGAGGUCAAAUCUUCGAGUGUGUCAAUUUUUGACGCUUUCAAGGACAUUUUUCACGAUGAAGCCCUUGCCAACUACAACUAUAAUGGAGUGUGCAAUCGUUUGACUAAAAAGCGAGCGAUGAAGGAUUACGUUAUCUUCGUCGAAUGUUUAAUUGCAUGGGCCGAAGAUGGGAUUGUGGAACACACUAUCGGAGCAACAUUGAAAGAGCUAAUCAAGAAAUUAAACGGACGGAAUCGCUUUCGGCGUUACGUUACUAGAGUUCGGGAGCGAAAAAAUCAGACACAGAUUGUAUAGAUCCGGCAGAAUAAAUUUAUUUAACAACUCAAACUUAUAUCGUUUUUAUCAAUUUGUACCCUAGUGAGUAAAACACGAUUACUAAAUUUCACGUAAUGUUUUAUG
Molecule: RNA transcript, 2580 nt
Organism: Toxorhynchites rutilus septentrionalis
Lineage: Eukaryota; Metazoa; Arthropoda; Insecta; Diptera; Culicidae
Exons: 7
Source: RefSeq, a predicted model, not a curated record